GACGAACGCUGGCGGCGUGCUUAACACAUGCAAGUCGAACGGUAAGGCCCUUCGGGGUACACGAGUGGCGAACGGGUGAGUAACACGUGGGUGAUCUGCCCUGCACUUCGGGAUAAGCCUGGGAAACUGGGUCUAAUACCGGAUAGGACUCCUGGCUUCAUGGUUGGGGAUGGAAAGCUUUUGCGGUGUGGGAUGGGCCCGCGGCCAAUCAGCUUGUUGGUGGAGUGAUGGCCUACCAAGGCGACGACGGGUAGCCGGCCUGAGAGGGUGACCGGCCACACUGGGACUGAGAUACGGCCCAGACUCCUACGGGAGGCAGCAGUGGGGAAUAUUGCACAAUGGGCGCAAGCCUGAUGCAGCGACGCCGCGUGAGGGAUGACGGCCUUCGGGUUGUAAACCUCUUUCAGCACCGACGAAGCGCAAGUGACGGUAGGUGCAGAAGAAGGACCGGCCAACUACGUGCCAGCCGCCGCAGUAA
Molecule: ribosomal RNA, 478 nt
Filed under: uncultured bacterium
Lineage: Bacteria
Description: partial 16S ribosomal RNA
Rfam family: Bacterial small subunit ribosomal RNA
Source: RNAcentral